UGCGUAGGUGGUUUCUUAAGUCUGAUGUGAAAGCCCACGGCUCAACCGUGGAGGGUCAUUGGAAACUGGGAGACUUGAGUGCAGAAGAGGAUAGUGGAAUUCCAAGUGUAGCGGUGAAAUGCGUAGAGAUUUGGAGGAACACCAGUGGCGAAGGCGACUGUCUGGUCUGUAACUGACACUGAGGCGCGAAAGCGUGGGAGCAAACA
This 206-nucleotide ribosomal RNA is filed under the name uncultured bacterium. RNAcentral's name for it is "partial 16S ribosomal RNA". It matches the Rfam family "Bacterial small subunit ribosomal RNA", at positions 568 to 774 of the family's 1533-position model. The record is from RNAcentral.